CAGGAUGCCCCAUAACGGCGAGUGAAGGGGCAACAGCUCAAUUGAAUCUGCGCCCCCGGGCGCCCGAAUGUAUUGGAGAGGGCGCCUGGCGUGUCCCCGGCUAAGUCCCUUGAACAGGGCGUCGCAGAGGUGAGAACCCCGUACGUGGCCGGCGGCUUUCGCCGCGCGAGGCCCUUCGACGAGUCGAGUUGUUUGGGAAUGCAGCUCCAAAUGGGAGGUAAAUUUCUUCUAAAGCUAAAUACCGGCCAGAGACCGAUAGCGCACAAGUAGAGUGAUCGAAAGAUGAAAAGCACUUUGGAAAGAGAGUCAAAAAGCACGUGAAAUUGUUGAAAGGGAAGCGCUUGCAGCCAGACUCGCCCGCGGUCGCUCACCCGGGCCCCCUCGCCCGGCGCGCUCGUCCGCGGGCGGGCCAGCAUCAGCUCAGGCGGGCCGGACAAAGGCCCCGGGAACGUAGCUCCCCCCGGGGAGUGUUUAGCCCGGGGCAGAACGGGCCAGCCGGGGCUGAGGCCCGCGCACCCCCGCUAGGAUGCUGGCGUAAUGGCGGCAAGCGGCCCGUCUUGAAACACGGACCAAGGAGUCUAACAUCUGUGCGAGUGUUUGGGUGUCAAGCCCGGGCGCGCAAUGAAAGUGAACGGAGGUGGGAACCCCCCUCCCCCGGGGGGCGCACCAUCGACCGAUCCUGAUGUCUUCGGAUGGAUUUGAGUAGGAGCACGGCUGUUGGGACCCGAAAGAUGGUGAACUAUGCCUGGAUAGGGUGAAGCCAGAGGAAACUCUGGUGGAGGCUCGCAGCGGUUCUGACGUGCAAAUCGAUCGUCAAAUCUGGGCAUAGGGGCGAAAGACUAAUCGAACUAUCUAGUAGCUGGUUCCUGCCGAAGUUUCCCUCAGGAUAGCAGUAACGCCUUCAGUUUUAUGAGGUAAAGCGAAUGAUUAGAGGCCUGGGGGUUGAAACAACCUUCACCUAUUCUCAAACUUUAAAUAUGUAAGAAGUCCUUGUUACUCGAUUGAACGUGGACAUUUGAAUGCACCGUUACUAGUGGGCCAUUUUUGGUAAGCAGAACUGGCGAUGCGGGAUGAACCGAACGCGGGGUUAAGGUGCCAGAAUGCACGCUCAUCAGACACCACAAAAGGUGUUAGUUCAUCUAGACAGCAGGACGGUGGCCAUGGAAGUCGGAACCCGCUAAGGAGUGUGUAACAACUCACCUGCCGAAUGAACUAGCCCUGAAAAUGGAUGGCGCUCAAGCGUGCUACCUAUACCCCGCCGCCAGGGCAGGGCUUACGCCCUGGCGAGUAGGCAGGCGCGGGGGCUCGUGACGAAACCUCGGGGGUGACCUGGGCAGACACC
RNAcentral lists this ribosomal RNA (1342 nucleotides) under Quintaria lignatilis. RNAcentral's name for it is "eukaryotic LSU rRNA". It matches the Rfam family "Eukaryotic large subunit ribosomal RNA", at positions 70 to 1436 of the family's 3401-position model. The record is from RNAcentral. Lineage: Eukaryota; Fungi; Ascomycota; Dothideomycetes; Pleosporales; Lophiostomataceae.